UCAAAGGCUAUGAAAGAGAGAGUACACAAUAUUCGUGUCUUAAGAGAAAUGGCGGCAGGUGCGAGCCAUGACAGAAUAUUGUGGAAAAUCACUCUGGAGCUGAGGGCUGAAAUAGUAGUAAGCCUUUCCGGUUUUUGUACCGUUAAAGUUUAUGAGUGAUCAUUCUUAUGAUAAAAUGGGUGGUACCGCGGAGACUUUCGCCCCAGAU
Molecule: non-coding RNA, 208 nt
Filed under: Caldanaerobius fijiensis
Lineage: Bacteria; Bacillati; Bacillota; Clostridia; Thermoanaerobacterales; Thermoanaerobacteraceae
Description: T-box sequence
Rfam family: T-box leader
About the family: Uncharged tRNA acts as the effector for transcription antitermination of genes in the T-box leader family. T-boxes are found upstream of many aminoacyl-tRNA synthetase genes and some amino acid biosynthetic genes usually in Gram-positive bacteria.
Source: RNAcentral